UAUAAAUUUUAAAUCUCAUAGUUCACUUCUACUUUGGAUUCCAUAGCAUGGAAUUUCAUUGUUUCUCAACCAGGAAUAAUCCUUAUCCAACCAAUCAAUAAACCAAAAAGUUCAUCACUUCAAAAUUCAAGAAAUGAAUAAGACAAACAAUCACCAAACCUACAAAACCAUAGUAACCGACAAGAAAAACUAUAACUACACCACCCAAAACACAAAAAGCAGUAAAAAAAUUUCAAUUCUACAUACAGAAGCAAACUCAUGCCCAGGAAGAAUCCCGCCAAUCUUCUCCAAAAGCAAGCCUAACGUCAUUGGCGGACAGCUCCUUAGCAACUCACAGGCCUCCGCAGCCUUAACCAUAGCUGUGGGCUGAUCCUCUGCAGUAACAAACGG
Molecule: unclassified non-coding RNA, 390 nt
Filed under: Hevea brasiliensis (rubber tree)
Lineage: Eukaryota; Viridiplantae; Streptophyta; Magnoliopsida; Malpighiales; Euphorbiaceae
Source: RNAcentral